CACGUAUUUAGCCGUCACUUCUUCUGUUGGUACCGUCAUUUUUUCUUCCCAACUGAAAGCACUUUACAUUCCGAAAAACUUCAUCGUGCACACAGAAUUGCUGGAUCAGACCCUCGGUCCAUUGUCCAAUAUUCCCCACUGCUGCCUCCCGUAGGAGUAAGGGCCGUGUCUCAGUCCCCUUGUGGCCGUUCACCCUCUCAGGCCGGCUACCCAUCAUCGCCUUGGUGAGCUGUUACCUCUCCAACUAGCUAAUGGGACGCAAAGCUCUCUCACAGUGCUUAUAGCUUUCAUAAUUCUAAGAUGCCUUAAAAUCAUAAUAUCAGGUAUUAGCUAUUCAUUUCUAAAUGUUGUCCCUAGCUGUGAGGCAAGUUCUUACGCGUUACUCACCCGUCGCCACCCAAAUCUAAGUUAAAAACCCAAUUACAAGUUGACUUGACAUGUGUUAAGCAUUCUGUCAGUCGUUCAUUCCUGACGCCAGGAUCAAAACUCUA
This 491-nucleotide ribosomal RNA is filed under the name uncultured Fusobacterium sp. Its description in RNAcentral is "partial 16S ribosomal RNA". The record is from RNAcentral. Lineage: Bacteria; Fusobacteriati; Fusobacteriota; Fusobacteriia; Fusobacteriales; Fusobacteriaceae.